This 144-nucleotide long non-coding RNA is filed under the name Fukomys damarensis (Damara mole-rat). RNAcentral's name for it is "lncRNA (ENSFDAG00000026584.1)". Lineage: Eukaryota; Metazoa; Chordata; Mammalia; Rodentia; Bathyergidae. The record is from RNAcentral.
CACAGGGAUUUGUCUGGAAUGACUUUACAGCUCAGCAGGAAGCUUGCUAAGUGCCAGGACUCUCAAACUGCAAAAGAAGAUGAAGGAUUAGAAAAAAAUAACGAAGCCCUCCUAAUGUAUUUGGAACUGAACAGUGUCAUGUAA